UACGAAGGGGGCUAGCGUUGUUCGGAAUUACUGGGCGUAAAGCGCGCGUAGGCGGCUUUGUAAGUUAGAGGUGAAAGCCCGAAGCUCAACUUCGGAAUUGCCUUUAAGACUGCAUCGCUAGAAUUGUGGAGAGGUAAGUGGAAUUCCGAGCGUAGAGGUGAAAUUCGUAGAUAUUCGGCGGAACACCAGUGGCGAAGGCGACUCACUGGCCCGAUACUGACGCUGAGGCGCGAAAGCGUGGGGAGCAAACAGG
RNAcentral lists this ribosomal RNA (253 nucleotides) under uncultured bacterium. RNAcentral describes it as "partial 16S ribosomal RNA". It matches the Rfam family "Bacterial small subunit ribosomal RNA", at positions 524 to 776 of the family's 1533-position model. The record is from RNAcentral.